This 442-nucleotide ribosomal RNA is filed under the name uncultured bacterium. Its description in RNAcentral is "bacterial SSU rRNA". It matches the Rfam family "Bacterial small subunit ribosomal RNA", at positions 340 to 773 of the family's 1533-position model. The record is from RNAcentral.
UACGGAAGGCAGCAGUGGGGAAUAUUGCACAAUGGGCGCAAGCCUGAUGCAGCCAUGCCGCGUGUAUGAAGAAGGCCUUCGGGUUGUAAAGUACUUUCAGUCGUGAGGAAGGUGUUAAGGUUAAUAACCUUAGCAAUUGACGUUAGCGACAGAAGAAGCACCGGCUAACUCCGUGCCAGCAGCCGCGGUAAUACGGAGGGUGCGAGCGUUAAUCGGAAUUACUGGGCGUAAAGGGCACGCAGGCGGUUAAUUAAGUUGGAUGUGAAAUCCCCGGGCUUAACCUGGGAAUGGCAUUCAAGACUGGUUAGCUAGAGUCUUGUAGAGGGGGUUAGAAUUCCAUGUGUAGCGGUGAAAUGCGUAGAGAUGUGGAGGAAUACCGGUGGCGAAGGCGGCCCCUGGGACAAAGGACUGACGCUCAUGUGCGAAAGCGUGGGGAGCAAAC